Molecule: transfer RNA, 61 nt
Filed under: Camelus bactrianus (Bactrian camel)
Lineage: Eukaryota; Metazoa; Chordata; Mammalia; Artiodactyla; Camelidae
Also listed under: 2 other names
Rfam family: tRNA
About the family: Transfer RNA (tRNA) molecules are approximately 80 nucleotides in length.
Source: Rfam by way of RNAcentral
UAUAGCUCAGUGGUAGAGCGUGUUUUUAGCAUGCACAAGGUUCUGGGUUCAGUCCCCAGUA